UUGCACGCUGGCGGCAUGCCUUACACAUGCAAGUCGAACGGCAGCGCGGACUUCGGUCUGGCGGCGAGUGGCGAACGGGUGAGUAAUACAUCGGAACGUACCCUGUUGUGGGGGAUAACUAGUCGAAAGAUUAGCUAAUACCGCAUACGACCUGAGGGUGAAAGUGGGGGACCGCAAGGCCUCACGCAGCAGGAGCGGCCGAUGCCUGAUUAGCUAGUUGGUGGGGUAAAGGCCCACCAAGGCGACGAUCAGUAGCUAGUCUGAGAGGACGAUCAGCCACACUGGGACUGAGACACGGCCCAGACUCCUACGGGAGGCAGCAGUGGGGAAUUUUGGACAAUGGGGGCAACCCUGAUCCAGCAAUGCCGCGUGUGUGAAGAAGGCCUUCGGGUUGUAAAGCACUUUUGUCCGGAAAGAAAUCGCGCUGGUUAAUACCUGGCGUGGAUGACGGUACCGGAAGAAUAAGCACCGGCUAACUACGUG
This 483-nucleotide ribosomal RNA is filed under the name uncultured bacterium. RNAcentral's name for it is "partial 16S ribosomal RNA". It matches the Rfam family "Bacterial small subunit ribosomal RNA", at positions 30 to 507 of the family's 1533-position model. The record is from RNAcentral.